Molecule: non-coding RNA, 83 nt
Organism: Oryctolagus cuniculus (rabbit)
Lineage: Eukaryota; Metazoa; Chordata; Mammalia; Lagomorpha; Leporidae
Source: Rfam
GGUGCUGUGGCACAGUGGGUUAAUGCCCUGGCCUGAAGCGCCAGCAUCCCUUAUGGGCACUGGUUCGAGUCCCACCUGCUCCU